UUCUGAUUCGUCUAUAUAAAGAGGAUAUGUAGGAACACGUGUAUCAAAAGGCACACAGAACACAAUAUCUUUUCCACUCCCCAAUUCCACCAUGGAGAAAGUUUUUUCUGGAUAUGCACUGUUCUUUGUGUUGUUUCUUACUGGUUCAACAAUAGGAGGAUGCUUCCCUACUGUUGAGGAAGUUCAAAAGAAUUGGAGAGCAUUGAUGGCCCCCAUACUUCAUGCAAACUUAUCUAAAUCGAGUCAUGAAUCAAAUCAAUCUAGCGCAAAAUAUCUUGCAGUACAUGGAUGGAUUCCUCCAGACGACGGUGCUACUGAGUAUUAUGUAUUAGAGGCUACUAUGGAUGUUUAUGGAUUUAAUCUAGAGCACGGGCAACAAACCAGAGGUUUCAUAUAGAUUUAUAAUUCAGAUGAAACAACAGCUGCAAAUGUAAUUCAUGCUGGAUGGAAUGUCGAUCCUGAAUCAUACAACGAUUCACAGACGCACUUCACUACAAGUUGGUUUGUUGAAGAAUCCAAGAAAGGUUGUUUAGAUAUGCGCUGUCCUGGAUUCCAAAGGACAGGUGGCUCGCACCCAUUCGUUCCUGGACAGGUGAUUAACCCUGUUUCCAGCACCUCUAGAAGGAAACAAUACAUUACUGUCAGAGUAUCCAAGGAUCAAAACUCUGGUGACUGGGAAAUCUACUUUGGUUUUGAUGGGAAGGCCAAGAUUAUAGGAUACUAUCCGAGAUCUCUCUUUACAUCCUUGUCAAAUAAGCCGGUGAACAUUGUGUUUGGGGGCUUUGCCUUCUGGAAAGAACAUAAACCGAGCCCUCCGAUGGGCAGUGGGAUUGCUCCACCCAAAAAUGCUGCCUCAUUUAGUAAUCUCAAAUUCUUUGAUGCAGCUGGCAACGCCCAUCCAAUUGACCAUGAUCUAGCACACGUAUCAGAUUGUUACCCUGUCACUGAUGUUAGAGAUGGCGUGUUCUCUUAUGGGGGACCUGGCAAUGUUUGCUAGUUUGUAAUUGAGCUUCAAUCUAUUGUAAUUGAGCUUGAAUGAAGUUAAGCUUGACUCUACUGAUGUGUCACUCUAGUUGAUCGGUAUUGAUCAUAGACCUACUUUUUAAUUGGAAGCAAAUAAGGAAAACUUUCUUUCACACCACCAGUAGUAGAAUAAAAACACCACCUUCAAUUGUAGCGAUAAAUCUAGCUUAAGUACGCUCUCCAUCACUUCUAUAUCUGUUCUCUUUGAGGCCAAUUCCUGUCUGACCUCCUCCUAGAACAUGUCCAGCCAAACGUGCUUUUAUGUACUUGCACUAAA
Molecule: long non-coding RNA, 1300 nt
Organism: Oryza sativa Japonica Group (Japanese rice)
Lineage: Eukaryota; Viridiplantae; Streptophyta; Magnoliopsida; Poales; Poaceae
Source: RefSeq, a predicted model, not a curated record